AACGCACAUUGCGCCCCCUGGUAUUCCGGGGGGCAUGCCUGUCCGAGCGUCAUUGCUGCCCUCAAGCACGGCUUGUGUGUUGGGCCCCCGUCCCCGCCUCACCGCGGGGACGGGCCCGAAAGGCAGCGGCGGCACCGCGUCCGGUCCUCGAGCGUAUGGGGCUUUGUCACCCGCUCUUGUAGGCCCGGCCGGCGCCUGUCGACACCAACCCCAAUUUUUCUAAGGUUGACCUCGGAUCAGGUAGGGAUACCCGCUGAACUUAA
Molecule: unclassified non-coding RNA, 263 nt
Filed under: uncultured fungus
Lineage: Eukaryota; Fungi
Description: partial contains 5.8S ribosomal RNA, internal transcribed spacer 2, and large subunit ribosomal RNA
Rfam family: 5.8S ribosomal RNA (bases 1-52)
Source: RNAcentral